AGUCACAGCUUUAAAUGCCUUGACCUGGACUAAGUCACUUCCUCAUUCUGGGUCCCAUCAGAGCACCCAGAAGAUGGCACGUGGAUUUGGUUAGACGUGGGGUCAGCCCUCAGGACUGUUUGGGCUGGAAGCAGGUGUUCUACAGCCAAGAAAACAAGAAAUAACAUUGAAAUUCUCAGUGUUAUUCUGUCACAUUAAAUACUCAGUAACUCAUCUUGCUAUAUUUGCAAAAACAUACUCGUCUCAAGAAUCAGAACUCUUUUUUCCCCAUAAGAGAAUGUGGCAACAUAAGGAGAAACAUGGAUUCAAACUGCUUUUGAUUUCUCAGAAAAUUGUUAAUGGAUAGUUUAUAAUGUAGUAUUAUAACAUAAACAUUACAUACUAUAUUUGGAGGUAUAGGUCAUAUAUUAUGCCACAACAAAAUAAGUUUCAAUAGUUUUAAAAUAUAGAUAUGAUGCAAAGUAUCUUUUCUGUCCAUAAUGGGAUAAAGUAGAAAUAAAAAACAAAAGUUAAAAAAAUAUAUAUUUUGUGGAAAUUAUGCAAUAUACUUUUAACCAACUAAUGGAUCAAAAAAAGGCAAAAGGAAAAAAUACUUAGAGACUAGUGAAGCAAAAAAACAACUUAUGAGACACAGUGAAAAUGGUGCUGGGAAAAAUUUAUAGCUAUAAACAUUUAUCUUAAAAAACAAGAAAAAAAUCUCAAACAAACUUUACAACCUAUAAAACUCAGAAAAGAACUAAACCCAAAGCUACCAAAAGGAAAGACAUAAUAAAAUUACAAAAGAGAAAGGUAAAAUAGAGAAUAGUAAAGGCAAUAGAGAAAAUAAAUGAAACCAGAGGUUGGUUCUUAGAAAAGCUAAAAAAAAAAAAAAAUGACAAACUAUAUGGCUCAA
Long non-coding RNA from Myotis daubentonii (Daubenton's bat), 892 nucleotides. RefSeq lists it as uncharacterized. The transcript is spliced from 2 exons. The record is from RefSeq and is a predicted model, not a curated record. NCBI's taxonomy places the organism in Eukaryota, Metazoa, Chordata, Mammalia, Chiroptera, Vespertilionidae.